This 251-nucleotide ribosomal RNA is filed under the name uncultured bacterium. RNAcentral describes it as "partial 16S ribosomal RNA". It matches the Rfam family "Bacterial small subunit ribosomal RNA", at positions 525 to 775 of the family's 1533-position model. The record is from RNAcentral.
ACGUAUGGUGCAAGCGUUAUCCGGAUUUACUGGGUGUAAAGGGAGCGUAGACGGAGUGGCAAGUCUGAUGUGAAAACCCUGGGCUCAACCCCGGGACUGCAUUGGAAACUGUCAAUCUAGAGUACCGGAGAGGUAAGCGGAAUUCCUAGUGUAGCGGUGAAAUGCGUAGAUAUUAGGAGGAACACCAGUGGCGAAGGCGGCUUACUGGACGGUAACUGACGUUGAGGCUCGAAAGCGUGGGGAGCAAACAG